This 421-nucleotide ribosomal RNA is filed under the name uncultured bacterium. RNAcentral describes it as "bacterial SSU rRNA". It matches the Rfam family "Bacterial small subunit ribosomal RNA", at positions 966 to 1393 of the family's 1533-position model. The record is from RNAcentral.
CCAUACGUACUUGACAUCCCCCUGACCGGCACGUAACGGUGUCAUUCCUUCGGGACAGGGGAGACAGGUGGUGCAUGGUUGUCGUCAGCUCGUGUCGUGAGAUGUUGGGUUAAGUCCCGCAACGAGCGCAACCCUUAUCCUCAGUAGCCAGCAGUAAGAUGGGCACUCUGUGGAGACUGCCAGGGAUAACCUGGAGGAAGGUGGGGAUGACGUCAAAUCAUCAUGCCCCUUAUGAUUUGGGCUACACACGUGCUACAAUGGCGUAAACAAAGGGAAGCGAAGCCGCGAGGCGGAGCAAAUCCCAAAAAUAACGUCUCAGUUCGGAUUGCAGGCUGCAACUCGCCUGCAUGAAGCUGGAAUCGCUAGUAAUCGCGGAUCAGAAUGCCGCGGUGAAUACGUUCCCGGGUCUUGUACACACCGA